UCAAUUUUAUAUUCUCUAGUGAAAAAUCGUUCAGUUUGCUUGUUCUUUUCACUGGCAUUUUAUAUUGUGCAUAUUCGGCUCACGGACUACCGUGGCGUGGCGUGGAGGACUUGAAAAUCUUGUUUGUCUAAUAGUGUAUUUUCAAGAAUUAUUUUGUCAAAAUAAGUCGUAUUAAAUGCACAAGCCGAACAAACAAAAUUAGUAUUUUUUGCAUAAUUCAAUAACAAUGUCGCG
This 234-nucleotide long non-coding RNA is filed under the name Panax ginseng (ginseng). Its description in RNAcentral is "long non-coding RNA (PGIN_LNC008807)". The record is from RNAcentral. Lineage: Eukaryota; Viridiplantae; Streptophyta; Magnoliopsida; Apiales; Araliaceae.